GCCUCAUUAAAAUAUUUCUGA
RNAcentral lists this microRNA (21 nucleotides) under Ananas comosus (pineapple). Its description in RNAcentral is "microRNA s0898_c118a". Lineage: Eukaryota; Viridiplantae; Streptophyta; Magnoliopsida; Poales; Bromeliaceae. The record is from RNAcentral.